CCUACGGGAGGCAGCAGUGGGGAAUAUUGCGCAAUGGACGAAAGUCUGACGCAGCGACGCCGCGUGUGGGAUGAAGCCUUUCGGGGCGUAAACCACUGUUGCCCGGGACGAACCUCCCCUUUCGAGGGGACUGACGGUACCGGGUGAGGAAGCACCGGCUAACUCUGUGCCAGCAGCCGCGGUAAUACAGAGGGUGCGAGCGUUGUCCGGAAUCACUGGGCGUAAAGGGCGCGUAGGUGGCUGGGUAAGCGUGUGGUGAAAGUCCGGGGCUCAACCCCGGAUCUGCCGUGCGAACUGCCGAGCUUGAGCGAUGUAGAGGCAGGUGGAAUUUCGGGUGUAGCGGUGGAAUGCGUAGAGAUCCGAAAGAACACCAGUGGCGAAGGCGAUCUGCUGGAACAUUAUUGACGCUGAGACGCGAAAGCGUGGGGAGCAAACAGGAUUAGAUACCCUGGUAGUCCACGCCCUAAACGAUGUACACUAGUUGUUGUGAGGCUCGACCUUGCAGUAAUGCAGUUAACACAUUAAGUGUACCGCCUGGGGAGUACGGUCGCAAGAUUAAAACUCAAAGGAAUUGACGG
This 578-nucleotide ribosomal RNA is filed under the name uncultured Gemmatimonadota bacterium. Its description in RNAcentral is "bacterial SSU rRNA". It matches the Rfam family "Bacterial small subunit ribosomal RNA", at positions 338 to 916 of the family's 1533-position model. The record is from RNAcentral. Lineage: Bacteria; Pseudomonadati; Gemmatimonadota.